UACGGAGGGGGCAAGUGUUGUUCGGAAUUACUGGGCGUAAAGGGCGCGCAGGCGGCUUGGCAAGUCGGGUGUGAAAUACCUCAGCUUAACUGAGGAAUGGCGCUCGAAACUACCUCGCUUGAGGGCGGGAGAGGGAAGUGGAACUCUCGGUGUAGGGGUGAAAUCUGUAGAUAUCGAGAGGAACACCGGUGGCGAAGGCGGCUUCCUGGCCCGUACCUGACGCUGAGGCGCGAAAGCGUGGGGAGCAAACAGG
Molecule: ribosomal RNA, 253 nt
Filed under: uncultured bacterium
Lineage: Bacteria
Description: partial 16S ribosomal RNA
Rfam family: Bacterial small subunit ribosomal RNA
Source: RNAcentral